This is a non-coding RNA of Myotis brandtii (Brandt's bat), 76 nucleotides long. The record is from Rfam. NCBI's taxonomy places the organism in Eukaryota, Metazoa, Chordata, Mammalia, Chiroptera, Vespertilionidae.
GGCGGUUCUUGGGUGACGCAACCUGGAAUUGGGCUCCCUCCUCUCUGGUUCCAGGGUGCAUCACCUGAGAACCACU